Molecule: non-coding RNA, 86 nt
Organism: Hypoxylon sp. FL1150
Lineage: Eukaryota; Fungi; Ascomycota; Sordariomycetes; Xylariales; Hypoxylaceae
Source: the annotation of a GenBank genome assembly
GCCCUUAUAGCAAAGUGGUAACGCGUUGCACUCGUAUCUCGGCAUGCGACAUGCAAAGAUUGCUAGUUCGAUUCCAGCUGAGGGCA